RNAcentral lists this ribosomal RNA (317 nucleotides) under uncultured bacterium. Its description in RNAcentral is "partial 16S ribosomal RNA". It matches the Rfam family "Bacterial small subunit ribosomal RNA", at positions 524 to 824 of the family's 1533-position model. The record is from RNAcentral.
UACGGGGGGGGCAAGCGUUGUUCGGAAUUACGUGGGCGUAAAGGGCUCGUAGGCGGCCAACUAAGUCAGACGUGAAAUCCCGUCGGCCUUAACCGGGGAACUGCAUCUGAUACUGGAUGGCUUGAGUUCGGGAGAGGGAGUGCGGAAUUCCAGGUGUAGCGGUGAAAUGCGUAGAUAUCUGGAGGAACACCGGUGGCGAAGGCGGCAUCCUGGACCGACACGUGACGCUGAGGAGCGGAAAAGCCAGGGGAGCCAAAGCGGGGAUUAAGAAACCCCGUGUAACCGUCCGAGCAACCAACGAUCUCCUGCUACCCGUA